AUAAAAGUUAAUUAUUUAAUUACAGAUUGGUGGAAUCCAGAUUCUGUGAAUGUACAUGUAAUUGAUUGACAAGUACACAUUUGACAAGGUGGUGAGAAACGUGUAGAUCUGGCCUGCUUACAGUGGCUAUUGGAUUGGACAGAACCAAAGUGAGAGUGAACGUGUGAAUUUAUGGAGAACAUUAAAAACUAUUUUACUAUAAGUCAUAACGCAACUUAUUUUGUAUGAGUU
Long non-coding RNA from Ostrinia furnacalis (Asian corn borer), 231 nucleotides. RefSeq lists it as uncharacterized. NCBI's taxonomy places the organism in Eukaryota, Metazoa, Arthropoda, Insecta, Lepidoptera, Crambidae. The transcript has 2 exons. The record is from RefSeq and is a predicted model, not a curated record.